UCUUGACUGUAGUUGCUGCCUUUGUUCUGCAAUAGCUGUUUUUUUUUUCUGCUUGGACUCUUUGUAAAUUCUCAUAAAGAUGGCGCUGGGAAGAAGUGACCACAACUGACUGACUGUUUUAUUUUCUUGGGCAGGGAAAUCUGUGCACCAGUCCACAGGGAGUUUUACUUUAGUAAAACCUGAUGGAUCAGGUCCAUAAUUGGAUAAAUACUUGAAGCCUUUGAUCAUUGAUCCUGAUAACCCAGAGAGGUACUCGCAAGUGCUUGUGGACCCCAACAAACUAUACAAUGUGGUGAAGAAAGCACGAGAGCAGAAAUCCCACCAGGAAGUUAGCCUGUUGAAUGGACUCAUAGAUCUCGUGUUCAGCACUCAGGAGCUAGCAGUAGCCCAUGGGCUGGGGCUGAAAGGGAAGGAUAAAGAAGAAAAGGCCCUCAACAGGGUAAAAGUAUCAGCCUGUGAAGCUUUUUUAAGACAAACAUGCACUGCAGAAGGCUGGAAAGAGCUGAGCCAGGUUGAAUUCCGAAGAAAAUUCACAGCAAAGAUUUGCAAUGCCCGGCGGGAUCUGAAAAAUUCCAUGCAAAAGUCCUCUUGAAAACACCCUACCUCUGAGGUCUAUGGGACUUUGAUAUGUAACUCCAGAUAAUCUAAUGAGAAUCCUCUGACUGCAUUUUCACAUGGCAUGUUAAGAAACUUGGUACUUCUGCUGAAUAACUUGAAACAAUUAUGAAACAAUCUAAGUGAUUUUGGGGCCAUCAGACUGCCUCAACGAAACUAACCAUAUCAUUCUGCAUAUAGAGUGCCUCAAGCAUGGAUAUGAAUGAGGAGACUAUGUAUGAGAGAGAGAGAGGGUUUUUUUUUUUACCACCUACUGUUACAUUUACUUUUUAAAGUGGUGUUGGGAUAGUAAAUUUGAACAAAAGCAUUGAGUUUCUUUAGCUAGUUAUUGUCAUCCUGUACAAUGCAUUUUCUGUUGUGUCUGAGGAUAACUUUGCAUGAUAGGGUGCCUUGUUCUUAGCACUUUGAGUGUUGGGGUUUUGCUCUGCAGUCCUGCAGCCUGUAUAUAUUGCUCAUGAAACUGGACUGUAACUGCAGACACCAAUUACAUGCUAGAAAUCAUCACCUGAG
Long non-coding RNA from Terrapene triunguis (Three-toed box turtle), 1125 nucleotides. RefSeq lists it as uncharacterized. The transcript has 3 exons. NCBI's taxonomy places the organism in Eukaryota, Metazoa, Chordata, Testudines, Emydidae. The record is from RefSeq and is a predicted model, not a curated record.